AGCCUGGGUUUGCCCGCGCUCGGCGACGUGGCGGCCUGGCCAAGCUCGGCGCCGCUCACCAGCGCUGACCUGGGGGUGGUUUGACCUCCCAGUGCCUCAGUUUCUUCAUAGGAGGGCGUGAAGACAGAGAAUGACCACAUCAACCUGAAGGUGGCCGGGCAGGACGGCUCCGUGGUGCAGUUCAAGAUCAAGAGGCACACGCCGCUGAGCAAGCUGAUGAAGGCCUACUGCGAGAGGCAGGGCUUGUCAAUGAGACAGAUUAGAUUCAGGUUCGACGGGCAGCCAAUUAAUGAAACUGACACUCCAGCACAGCUGGAGAUGGAGGACGAGGACACCAUCGACGUGUUCCAGCAGCAGACAGGAGGUGCGCCGGAGAGCAGCCUGGCAGGGCACAGUUUCUAGGGGGCCUGUCCCCAUCCCAGGCCGUCCGUCCUUGCUUUGCUGUUGAAUGGUGAGCACGUGACCAUGCCGACCACAAAGGCGUCUGCGGAAACUCGAGGACAUUCACCACAAUGAUUUUCCUCUCUUUGAUGUACUUCAAGUGCAACUCAAAACUAUAUCUGCAGGGAUGAAUCUGUAACUUAAAUUGGGCCAAUCAGAAUUGUUAUCUUUGUUCAGGUAAAAUGAGUUGCAAGAUAUUUUGGGUUUUUUUGUGUGCUCAUUUGUGUUUUUCCCCCCCUCCUAAAACAUUUUUUUAACCCCAAAAUUAUAGCCUGAAUGUUCGCUUUUAGUCUGGCCAGGGAUCUGACUCCUGAGUUGGUUGCCUCUCCCCUGCUCACUCCAGUCACAUAGAGAAUUGGUGUUUCCUGCAGUGGGGAUGCAGCUGUUGGACAGGUAUUGGGGGCAAGGUUGGUAGGGAGGGCAGACUGUCACUUGCUGUUACAGGCACAGGUGAUUAAAAUGCUAAAUAUUGCAAAUUUAAGCUUUGUCAGUAUAUGGAAAAGUUGAAGGGAAAAUACUGGAAUGCUUCUUCGAAGGUUAAAAAAUAACCGAGUCUUUUGGUAAUUUGACCCCACAUGCUCUCUGGCCCUCAAGCAUGUAACCUUGGGGUCUGAGGCCCAGGACCCACCCCCCUGCCACCCCUCCCACCCCACUCCCUGCUCAGUACCUGGCGUUGGUACACAGGCAAGGAUUGGCACAACCAAAAUUGGCCUUUUUCUCCCUCUUAAUAUUGAAGAAAUUCCCACAUUUCUCAUUUGGUAAUGGUGUUGUGGCCUCAGAUUUCUUCUAGUAUUUGCUUCUGAUGAAUAAUUAUGGUCUAUACAUAAAAAACUAAGAUUAAGUAUUGCUGAAUUUGCAGUUAACGUUGUCGUAUAUACGAGCUACUUCCAAGUGUGGUUACAAAUGAACCCAUGGAAUGAUGACUUCAUGUUCUUCUCGUGGGUUUGUGCCGUGCUGCUUUCCAAAUAUGUAUUGAAUUUAUGCAUUAGUCUGGUGAUUUCAGUUCUGUGAAAUAUUUUGGGAUCUAUACCAAUUAAACAUUUUCAUAGUUCUGCCUAUUGUCCUUCCCUGAGGCUCCAUUGCUGCUUGGUGGCCAUUCUCUGCCUUUUUAUAGUCACCUGAACAACGACCCAUCAUCUCUUGCUUGCUUGAAAUCUUGCUGAAAUGUUCUCAUUUCCUGUUUGCUGUAUGGGCUCGGGUGGGAUGUUUGUUGGCUCUGUUGUGUUUAUUCACCAAUUUGUACAUUAUUUGUUGUCCUUUACUACUGUAAACAGUAAAUAUAGUUUGGUAUUCUGUC
RNAcentral lists this small RNA (1738 nucleotides) under Pongo abelii (Sumatran orangutan). RNAcentral's name for it is "processed transcript". Lineage: Eukaryota; Metazoa; Chordata; Mammalia; Primates; Hominidae. The record is from RNAcentral.